UGAGGAAUAUUGGUCAAUGGGCGAGAGCCUGAACCAGCCAAGUAGCUGUGCAGGAUGACGCGCCCUAUGGGUUGUAAACUGCUUUUAUGACGGGGGAUAAAGUGAGGCCACGUGUGACCGUUUUGUCAGGUUACCGGCAAAGAGAUAAGGCGGGCG
This 156-nucleotide ribosomal RNA is filed under the name uncultured bacterium. RNAcentral's name for it is "partial 16S ribosomal RNA". The record is from RNAcentral.